AUAGAGACUCAGAGCUGCAUAUCAAUAAGCGGAGGAAAAGAAACUAACAUAGGAUUCCCUCAGUAACGGCGAGUGAAGCGGGAAGAGCUCAAAUUUGAAAUCUUCGAGGUUCUACCUUGACGAAUUGUAGUUUAAAGAAGUGUUUUCUGUUAGAGUUUGAGUAGCAAAAGUUCUUUGGAAUAGGACAUCAUAGAGGGUGAGAAUCCCGUAUUUGACCAGUUACUUUCCAGCGUUGUGAUACACUUUCAAAGAGUCGGAUUGUUUGGGAAUGCAGUCCAAAAUGGGUGGUAAAUUUCAUCUAAAGCUAAAUAUUGGCGAGAGACCGAUAGCGAACAAGUACCGUGAGGGAAAGAUGAAAAGAACUUUGAAAAGAGAGUUAAACAGUACGUGAAAUUGUCAAAAGGGAAGCGUUUGACACCAGUGUUGUUUUCUCGAAAAUCAAUUACAAAUGGCUUGGACUUUGUGUUGUAUUGACCUUAUCAGCUUUCUGCACCUUUUUCUAGUCUUUCUUAAUGCACUUUUCGGUUAACAAGUCAACAUCAAUUUCUUUUGUCGUAAAAGGAGUCAUUCGGAAGGUGGCUUUCUUUUCGGAGAAAGUGUUUAUAGCCCUAUACUUCUACAAUCGGAGAGAUUGAGGUCUGCAGCGUAGAUCCUUCGGGGUUAGAUACAUUUGUGCUAAGUUAUAGCUUUUCAUAGACAACUUGUUGACUAUGAUUAGUCAUUGUAGCUUACUCGCUUACUGCUAUUUUACCUACGCUUAGGAUGUUGACGAUCAGCUGAGCGCG
Molecule: ribosomal RNA, 785 nt
Filed under: uncultured Neocallimastigales
Lineage: Eukaryota; Fungi; Neocallimastigomycota; Neocallimastigomycetes; Neocallimastigales
Description: partial large subunit ribosomal RNA
Rfam family: Eukaryotic large subunit ribosomal RNA
Source: RNAcentral